This 458-nucleotide ribosomal RNA is filed under the name uncultured bacterium. RNAcentral's name for it is "bacterial SSU rRNA". It matches the Rfam family "Bacterial small subunit ribosomal RNA", at positions 340 to 786 of the family's 1533-position model. The record is from RNAcentral.
UACGGAAGGCAGCAGGGGGAAUAUUGCACAAUGGGCGAAAGCCUGAUGCAGCUAUGCCGCGUGUAUGAAGAAGGCCUUAGGGUUGUAAAGUACUUUCAUCGGGGAGGAAAAAACAAAACUAAUAAUUUUAUUUCUUGACGUUACCCGAAAAAGAAGCACCGGCUAACUCCGUGCCAGCAGCCGCGGUAAUACGGAGGGUGCUAGCGUUAAUCAGAAUUACUGGGCGUAAAGAGCACGUAGGUGGUUUUUUUAAGUCAGAUGUGAAAUCCCUGGGCUUUAACCUAGGAACUGCAUUUUGAAACUGAAAUACUAGAGUAUCGUAGAGGGAGGUAGAAUUCUAGGUGUAGCGGUGAAAUGCGUAGAUAUCUGGAGGAAUACCUGUGGCGAAAGCGGCCUCCUAAACGAAUACUGACACUGAGGGUGCGAAAGCGUGGGGAGCGAAACAGGGAUUAGAUACC